UACGUAGGGGGCGAGCGUUGUCCGAAUUUACUGGGCGUAAAGGGCGCGUAGGCGGUGAAUUAAGUUGGUGGUGAAAGUCCAAGGCUCAACCUUGGAAUUGCUUCCAAUACUGGUUGACUUGAGGCAUGAAUGGGGAAGUAGAAUUCCGGGUGUAGCGGUGAAAUGCGUAGAUAUUCGGAGGAAUACCGGUGGCGAAGGCGGCUUCCUGGUCAUGUCCUGACGCUGAGGUGCGAAAGCUAGGGUAG
RNAcentral lists this ribosomal RNA (245 nucleotides) under uncultured Clostridia bacterium. Its description in RNAcentral is "partial 16S ribosomal RNA". It matches the Rfam family "Bacterial small subunit ribosomal RNA", at positions 524 to 768 of the family's 1533-position model. The record is from RNAcentral. Lineage: Bacteria; Bacillati; Bacillota; Clostridia.